AUUGCAUACAAAGGGGAUUACCCACUCUCCAUAGUGUGCUAGGCCCAAGGUGGACAUUAAAUAUUACUAUAAAAAUGGACUGAUUCAAAUUCUUAAAUGUAUUAGAUAUCUAAAAAAUAUAUUGAAAUUGACGCCACUAUUAUAAAAAAUAUAAUAAAAAUAAAAAACUCGUUUUGAGGUUAAUUUUCUAUAUAAAUACCUCAAGAACUUUUCUUUUUUUAAUGUUUAAGAUGUUCCUAAUGUAUUUUUAUCCAAUUGUAGUUAUUAGGGUAUAAAAAACACACAUACUUCUUUAAAUAUCUAUAUUAUUCUAUAUUUUCAUCAUCUUCAUACACAAUUAGUAAAUCAUCUAAAAAUAGCACAGGAGACUUCGAUCAACAAUAGUAACUAGAUUUCGGGUCGGUGCAUAAAAUCCGUCUCGUCAAAUAACAGCGCACUUGAAAUGUGAGCUCUUAUUUUGUUUAGUUCACUUCAAACACAGCCAAUGUCAACCCGUCUCACAAUACCGCAGUGUGUAUUCAAAAGUUGCAAAAAUAAGGCCCGAAAAAGCAAUUUAACGGCCGGAGUAUCUUACUUUCGCUUUCCUAGCAAUCACGUGUGCAGAAUGGAUCUCGAUUGUCGCCAGAGAAACAAGAGAUGACUUUUAUAAGCCAGCUAAGAACUCCGCUUAUUGACACUGGACAUCUUUGCCUUCCGUGCUCACGGCUACUGAAAUGUGGCCGAAACAUUGUAAUAAAAAUACCACGCUUGAAACCGUUUAAA
Molecule: long non-coding RNA, 762 nt
Organism: Bombyx mori (domestic silkworm)
Lineage: Eukaryota; Metazoa; Arthropoda; Insecta; Lepidoptera; Bombycidae
Exons: 2
Source: RefSeq, a predicted model, not a curated record